GACGAACGCUGGCGGCAUGCCUAAUACAUGCAAGUCGAGCGAACAGAUGAAGCGCUUGCACUUCUGACGUUAGCGGCGAACGGGUGAGUAACACGUAAGGAAUCUACCUAUAAGCGGGGGAUAACAUUCGGAAACGGGUGCUAAUACCGCAUAAUAUCUUCUUCCGCAUGGAAGAAGAUUGAAAGACGGCUCUGCUGUCACUUAUAGAUGACCUUGCGGUGCAUUAGUGAGUUGGUGGGGUAAUGGCCUACCAAGACAAUGAUGCAUAGCCGACCUGAGAGGGUGAUCGGCCACAUUGGGACUGAGACACGGCCCAAACUCCUACGGGAGGCAGCAGUAGGGAAUCUUCCGCAAUGGGCGAAAGCCUGACGGAGCAAUGCCGCGUGAGUGAAGAAGGCCUUCGGGUCGUAAAACUCUGUUAUAAGAGAAGAACAAAUUGUAGAGUAACUGCUACAGUCUUGACGGUAUCUUAUCAGAAAGCCACGGCUAACUACGUGCCAGCCGCCGCUGUAA
This 513-nucleotide ribosomal RNA is filed under the name uncultured bacterium. Its description in RNAcentral is "partial 16S ribosomal RNA". It matches the Rfam family "Bacterial small subunit ribosomal RNA", at positions 28 to 523 of the family's 1533-position model. The record is from RNAcentral.